GAUGAACGCUGGCGGCGUGCCUAAUACAUGCAAGUCGAGCGAACAGACGAUGAGCUUGCUCCUCUGACGUUAGCGGCGGACGGGUGAGUAACACGUGUAUAACCUACCUAUAAUACUGGGAUAACUUCGGGAAACCGGAGCUAAUACCGUAUAAUAUAUUGAACCGCACGGUUCAAUAGUGAAAGACGGUUUUGCUGUCACUUAUAGAUGGAUCCGCGCCGCAUUAGCUAGUUGGUAAGGUAACGGCUUACCAAGGCAACGAUGCGUAGCCGACCUGAGAGGGUGAUCGGCCACACUGGAACUGAGACACGGUCCAGACUCCUACGGGAGGCAGCAGUAGGGAAUGUGCCGCAAUGGGCGAAAGCAUGACGGAGCAGCGCGGAGUGAGUGAUGAAGGUCUUCGGAUCGUAAUACUCUGUUAUUAGGGAAGAACAAAUGUGUAAGUAACUAUGCACGUAUUGACGGUACCUGAUAAGAAAGCCACGGCUAACUACGUG
This 497-nucleotide ribosomal RNA is filed under the name uncultured bacterium. Its description in RNAcentral is "partial 16S ribosomal RNA". It matches the Rfam family "Bacterial small subunit ribosomal RNA", at positions 28 to 507 of the family's 1533-position model. The record is from RNAcentral.